This is a non-coding RNA of Potamilus streckersoni, 74 nucleotides long. NCBI's taxonomy places the organism in Eukaryota, Metazoa, Mollusca, Bivalvia, Unionida, Unionidae. The record is from the annotation of a GenBank genome assembly.
AACCCAGGUGGCCUAGUGGUUAGGGCAUCCUCCUCAGAUGCGGGUGGAAAUGGGUUGGAGACCCGGCCGAGUCA